UUGGACUGGACGCAGAGCAAUACGGUCAACAAGGUAAAGACCAUGGCAGCUGCAGUGAGUGUGCAUAGCGGCAGAUAUGCAUGGUGAGUUUGAUCCCCUUCCACACCAACUUGUGGUUUUGUUCUUCCAUGGCCGAUGUGUUAUACAUACGCUGGAUCUAAAUUCAGAACAUGCUACUUCUGUAUUCCUUUAUUUUUUGCACUGUACGCAUGGUUACUGCUAGCUUAACACAAUGUUCUGAUGUUUCUCUGGCAACAUGCAUUGAAUUGAUGUACUGGUGGUUGGUUGAGUGUGCGUACAGGACAUAUCUAUGUUCAGUAACGAUCCAGACCGCAAAUUUAAGUUGCCGGAUAUAUCUGCGUGUACAGAAGCUUCUCAUGUAUGCAUGUUAAUGUCAACUGCUGUGGUAUAUACUGGUGAUUUACUUGAUUUUUCAAAAAAUUACAUCCUAUAGGUGUGUUUGAUUUAGUGUCAACUGGUGGUGGUUGGCCAUAAUGCAAGUCAUCCCUUCUCUGUUAUUUUGUACAGAUAUGUGAUUAUUUGUACAGACUUUUGUUCUUGCAAUAUUUCAUACAUGAGAUUCCUUAAUUAUACAUGCCAUACAUGUUCAUCGACAUCAUUAGUGAGCAAAUCAUUUUGCUCUAGAAACAACAAACACGUUUGAGAGUUCUAUGUUCAGUUGUGUAUGAUUGUUUUUUUUUGUUGUGCUAUCUUUGGCUAUAAUUUAAUUCAUACUCAAAAUGAUAAGCCCAGAGCAUAUUUUCUCUUUAUCUUACUAAGAAAAUCAUUGUGUUUAUAAUUUAUAUGUUGAACAGUACUUGUGCUAUGCAUAUUUCAAUGGGUCAUGAAUUAAAUUGAAUGUGAAUGUUGUGCAUAUGUGAUUUUUUUCAUUUCAGCUGAGCGUGAAGUGUGUGAAAUUUGCUCAAGGGCCAUCCUGUCAAGGCCAUUAUGAAGAAAGGGAAGGUAAUGCGCUGCCACCCGCUGUACCUUGUUCCUUCUUAGUUCUGUUUGUAUGCAUUUGGACAAUUUUCAUUUAAAUUCAGUUAGUAAAUUAAGAUGCUUGGGGUGACAUAGUUCUUUAAGGAUUAGUUUCAAUGUGGACUGUUUUAUAAUUCCAGUAAAAUUAUAACUGCAUGGUUUUGUAAAUUAUAACUGCGUCGUUUUUUCUGUAUGCAUAAAAUCUACAUUGUACCAUGUCCCCGAUAUCAUGCAUUGCCUUGAUACACUACUAUACAGUGCCAUCCCCUUGUGUUCAUGGAUUCUGUUUCAGCCUUGUAUCUUAAUAACCAUUGAGCAGUUGAUUAAGCAAUGUAAUAAAUUAAAUUCAAAGUUUACUUGGCAAGCAAGUGUUGUUUACUAUUGUCACUACUUUGAGAUGAACUAUAAACAUUCAGUUUCAUGUGUCCGUGUGGUGGAUAUUGUUUCAUUGUCAUGCCAUUUGUUUGGCGGAUUUAUGUCCUCCAUUGCUCCAGUACUUGGGAGUUCCGUGAUGUGUAUUUUGUGGCUUUGACACUUAUAUGUCAACUUGAUUACAUUUUCAGUUCACACAUUUCUUUGGAUUAAUUUUAAGCAACCCAAUGUUCAUUCUUUGUUUUCUAGUACAUACUUUGUUAUUCUCUUUUAUAGGCAUUGCAAGAUUUAAGAAUUUUUGACGUGUAAUUCAUUUUUUUAUGUUUGUUCUAAGUCUCUUAUUUCUGCAAUCUAUUCAUAUAUACAAAUCUGUCGUGUUGUAACUAUUUGUAUAAUUAGGUCCCAUGCUACCUGUUGUUUCUUUUCACACAUUUAAUUAAAUUUGUUGCACUAUGCACCCUGGGAGUGAAAAAAUAUAGAAUGUAAAAACAUGUACUCCCUCCAUAAAGAAAUAUAAGAGUGUUUAGAUCACUAAAGUAGUAGUGAUCUAAACACUCUUAUAUUUUUUUACAGAGGGAGUACUAAGCUACUUCUAGUUUACCUAUUGGCUAUAAUAUUUUAUGAAGUGACAAAUGUUUCAUCAUCUGGCAGCUAUUGAUUUAUCGGAGCAUUUUCAGCAACAAAGAUGUGUGUUUUGAUGACUUCAGCAUGGACGGGCGGACUUGUGGCUAGAAAAGCGGAUUGAUGGGGGCGGUGUUGGCUGUACAGUAGCAUAGUGUGCUCCAAAACAUGCUUGUAAACUUAAUGUUUUUUGGGUAUUUUCUUUUUGGUCCUGUAGUGGUGUGUUUUUUGUUGUGUUUGUGUAAUUUUCAUUUUUUAGUGACAUGAGCAUAUAUUUUCUGUAAAAUUCUUAUUGGCUUAAAGUUUCAAUGGACGCAGAGAAACGAGAGAUGAGCUAAUUUUCUAGACUGAAAUUAAUCGGCCUUAAAUGAAAUUAAUGCUUUUAUGUUCUAAUUGGGUUGAUUACUAUAUGGG
RNAcentral lists this long non-coding RNA (2385 nucleotides) under Triticum aestivum (bread wheat). RNAcentral's name for it is "long non-coding RNA (TAES_LNC028075)". Lineage: Eukaryota; Viridiplantae; Streptophyta; Magnoliopsida; Poales; Poaceae. The record is from RNAcentral.